UGCAUCGGCCGGGAAUCGAACCUGGGCCGCCCGCGUGGCAGGCGAGCAUUCUACCACUAAGCCACCGAUGC
This 71-nucleotide transfer RNA is filed under the name Cordylochernes scorpioides. RNAcentral describes it as "tRNA-Gly". The record is from RNAcentral. Lineage: Eukaryota; Metazoa; Arthropoda; Arachnida; Pseudoscorpiones; Chernetidae.